UGGGGAAUUUUGGACAAUGGGCGAAAGCCUGAUCCAGCAAUGCCGCGUGUGUGAAGAAGGCCUUCGGGUUGUAAAGCACUUUUGUCCGGAAAGAAAUCCUUGGCUCUAAUACAGUCGGGGGAUGACAGUACCGGAAGAAUAAGCACCGGCUAACUACGUGCCAGCAGCCGCGGUAAUACGUAGGGUGCAAGCGUUAAUCGGAAUUACUGGGCGUAAAGCGUGCGCAGGCGGUUUGCUAAGACCGAUGUGAAAUCCCCGGGCUCAACCUGGGAACUGCAUUGGUGACUGGCAGGCUAGAGUAUGGCAGAGGGGGGUAGAAUUCCACGUGUAGCAGUGAAAUGCGUAGAGAUGUGGAGGAAUACCGAUGGCGAAGGCAGCCCCCUGGGCCAAUACUGACGAUCAUGCACGAAAGCGUGGGGAGCAAACAGGAUUAGAUACCCUGGUAGUCCACGCCCUAAACGAUGUCAACUAGUUGUUGGGGAUUCAUUUCCUUAGUAACGUAGCUAACGCGUGAAGUUGACCGCCUGGGGAGUACGGUCGCAAGAUUAAAACUCAAAUGAAUUGACGGGGUCAUAGCUGUUUCCU
This 585-nucleotide ribosomal RNA is filed under the name uncultured bacterium. RNAcentral's name for it is "partial 16S ribosomal RNA". It matches the Rfam family "Bacterial small subunit ribosomal RNA", at positions 355 to 1375 of the family's 1533-position model. The record is from RNAcentral.